RNAcentral lists this ribosomal RNA (930 nucleotides) under Isoptericola sp. RNAcentral describes it as "bacterial SSU rRNA". It matches the Rfam family "Bacterial small subunit ribosomal RNA", at positions 36 to 978 of the family's 1533-position model. Lineage: Bacteria; Bacillati; Actinomycetota; Actinomycetes; Micrococcales; Promicromonosporaceae. The record is from RNAcentral.
CUGGCGGCGUGCUUAACACAUGCAAGUCGAACGGUGAAGCCCAGCUUGCUGGGUGGAUCAGUGGCGAACGGGUGAGUAACACGUGAGCAACCUGCCCUCCACUUCGGGAUAAGCCUUGGAAACGGGGUCUAAUACCGGAUAUGAGCCUGCAUCGCAUGGUGUGGGUUGGAAAGUUUUUCGGUGGGGGAUGGGCUCGCGGCCUAUCAGCUUGUUGGUGGGGUGAUGGCCUACCAAGGCGUCGACGGGUAGCCGGCCUGAGAGGGCGACCGGCCACACUGGGACUGAGACACGGCCCAGACUCCUACGGGAGGCAGCAGUGGGGAAUAUUGCACAAUGGGCGAAAGCCUGAUGCAGCGACGCCGCGUGAGGGAUGACGGCCUUCGGGUUGUAAACCUCUUUCAGCAGGGAAGAAGCGCAAGUGACGGUACCUGCAGAAGAAGCGCCGGCUAACUACGUGCCAGCAGCCGCGGUAAUACGUAGGGCGCAAGCGUUGUCCGGAAUUAUUGGGCGUAAAGAGCUCGUAGGCGGUCUGUCGCGUCUGGUGUGAAAUCCCGAGGCUCAACCUCGGGCUUGCAUCGGGUACGGGCAGACUAGAGUGCGGUAGGGGAGACUGGAAUUCCUGGUGUAGCGGUGGAAUGCGCAGAUAUCAGGAGGAACACCGAUGGCGAAGGCAGGUCUCUGGGCCGCAACUGACGCUGAGGAGCGAAAGCAUGGGGAGCGAACAGGAUUAGAUACCCUGGUAGUCCAUGCCGUAAACGUUGGGCACUAGGUGUGGGGCUCAUUCCACGAGUUCCGUGCCGCAGCUAACGCAUUAAGUGCCCCGCCUGGGGAGUACGGCCGCAAGGCUAAAACUCAAAGGAAUUGACGGGGGCCCGCACAAGCGGCGGAGCAUGCGGAUUAAUUCGAUGCAACGCGAAGAACCUUACCAAG